AGACGAGGUUUCACCAUGUUAGCCAGGAUGGUCUUGAUCUCCUGACCUCGUGACCCGCCCGCCUCGGCCUGGGAUUACAGAUGAUCACGUCUCUUCGCUUCCAGUCCUCAGAUACCUUAGAUACUUUGUUUCUUUUUCUUGCCUUAUAACAUUACUCACGACUUUCAGCUCCAUGUUAAAGAACAGCAGUGUUACCUUCCCCCAGCACCUCCUGCCCAUCUUGUUCCUGCUGUACCUCCUGAUGUUCCUGUUCACAUUGCUGGGCAACCUUCUCAUCAUGGCCACAAUCUGGAUUGAACACAGACUCCACACACCCAUGUACCUCUUCUUGUGUGCCCUCUCCAUCUCUGAGAUUCUGUUCACUGUUGCCAUCACCCCUCGCAUGCUGGCUGAUCUGCUUCCCACCCAUCAUUCCAUCACCUUUGUGGCUUGUGCCAACCAGAUGUUCUUCUCCUUCAUGUUUGGCUUCACUCACUCCUUCCUUCUCAUGGUCAUGGGCUAUGAUCGCUAUGUGGCCAUCUGCCACCCACUGCGUUACAAUGUGCUCAUGAGCCCCCGUGACUGUGCCCGUCUUGUGGCCUGUACCUGGGCUGGUGGCUCAGUCAUGGGGAUGAUGGUGACAAUGAUAGUUUUCCACCUCACUUUCUGUGGGUCUAAUGUGAUCCACCAUUUUUUCUGUCAUGUGCUUUCCCUCUUAAAGUUGGCCUGUGAAAACAAGACAUCAUCUGUCAUCAUGGGUGUGAUGCUGGUGUGUGUCACAGCCCUGAUAGGCUGUUUAUUCCUCAACAUCCUCUCCUAUGUCUUCAUUGUGGCUGCCAUCUUGAGGAUUCCCUCUGCCGAAGGCCAGCACAAGACUUUUUCUACGUGUGUAUCCCACCUCACUGUGGUGGUCACGCACUAUAGUUUUGCCUCCUUUAUCUACCUCAAGCCCAAGGGCCUCCAUUCUAUGUACAGUGAUGCCUUGAUGGCCACCACCUAUACUGUCUUCACCCCCUUCCUUAGCCUAAUCAUUUUCAGCCUAAGGAACAAGGAGCUGAAGAAUGCCAUAAAUAAAAACUUUUACAGAAAAUUCUGUCCUCCAAGUUCCUGAGCGCCAGUUUGGUGGUGAUAAAAUAUAAUAAUGUGUAUCUCCAUAGGGCUGUUGUAAGGGUUCAGGUAUGUGAAAAUAUGUGUUUGAUACAUACUAGCUAUUGUUUUCCCUUCCCUUUUUGCUUAAGCUCAAGUGAUCAUAAUCUUUUCUUUAUGAGCCAUUGUGAUGACCUUUAUCCCAUUAUCUGUGCCUAGAAAUGUGUUUUCUGUCCACAGACAGGUGGGGAUCAUCACGUGGAUGUGUCUGGGCACUUAUGAACACAGUUCUUCUUGAAUGGACAGGCAAAAAAGAUUUUAUUUUCCCCUAGUGUAAGAAAAAGCAAGAAUAACAUGAUAGUCAUAAAUGCCACCGAGCACUGAGCUUUUUCUAUGUAUUGGCACUGUGUCCAGUGU
This 1482-nucleotide small RNA is filed under the name Pan troglodytes (chimpanzee). Its description in RNAcentral is "processed transcript". Lineage: Eukaryota; Metazoa; Chordata; Mammalia; Primates; Hominidae. The record is from RNAcentral.